CAAAUACAUUGUGUAAUUAAUUAUCCAUUGUAUAAAUUUUGAAAACACAACAUUUUACAUUAUCUAUUCAAUCAAAUAAAAAAUAUUCAGCUUAGGUCAUAAAUUUGCAGGAUCUAUAAACAUAGCUAGGGGAUUUACAGAUUUCAUCUUUGACCUGUUACGAAAUAAGAAGAGCGCAUAAUGUUAAUGUUGAAGCAUAUAUAAAUUACAAAAGAACACUACGGAGGCUAAUUCAUCUUCGACCUGUUACAGAGUCUCAAAGGGGCUUCCGAACGAAGAAAUUCUCGUUAUUUUUGAGAUUUCUUGCAGAGAUUUUUCACCCAUUUCAGGCUCAAUAUCUUCUUUCCCGACUUACUUUUUUCAUCUUUUUUCUUCUUCUUGUCAUCCUCCGAUGCAGGUGGCAGAGGUUCCGGUCCCCACUGAUCUGCCCAUGAAAGCCCCUCGGAGCCAUAUAUGUCCAUGUUCUUGUUUUCUUUUUUAGUCCCUUGGCAUUCCCAGACAAGAAUUCCUGCAAAAAGAGCCCGAUAAAUU
This 531-nucleotide long non-coding RNA is filed under the name Olea europaea subsp. europaea. The record is from RNAcentral. Lineage: Eukaryota; Viridiplantae; Streptophyta; Magnoliopsida; Lamiales; Oleaceae.